AGGAUCUUUGAUCCUUUUUUUCUUCCAUCUCUUCUUGCAGAUGUUCAAGGACCAAGAUGGCAACGCCGGACAGCAAGGUUUUGCUGAGUUUCUGCAUUUAUAUUGGUUCCUUUUCCCUGUUCUCACCUGCAAUGAGUUAAUGACAGAUUAGGGUCUGAAAUAACAAGAAAAUUGAAAAAGCAAACUUAUAUGUGAAUGUGUAAAAUUCAAUUUGUCUUUGGAAGUUCUGUCUAUCUAUAUCAAGAAUGUCUCAUUUUAUAAUACGUAAGAGUUACUGUUUGGUCACUUUCUGUACUAAGUAAAUAAGUUCUGCUUCAGGUGUCUCUAUGUGAGGUCGGGCUCUCAUGAAAAGAUUUUUCCCUGUUAAUGAGUUGUCAGCAAAUACAUUGGUUUUAGGUUUUGGACAAUCUGAACCAAAUGUUGCUAUGAUAAACCGUUGCUACAUUUGACUCUUUGCUAGCUAUAGUUGGUACCUUAGAGGGUCUUUAUUGUUUGACCACUACUAAAACCACUAAACCACUACUGCUCAUUCAUUAACAACUAAGAAAAUAUAUAAAUAGCUUCUAGUCUUCAAUAAAGAGUAACAUGCUUAGCAAUAAAUUAAUUAGGUUUGAAUUAAAACAAUAAGUAGUCAUCAUGAUAAAAUAAGACAUUACUGAGUAUUAUGACCAACAUAAUAAUGAUUAGUAACUAAAAGUAUUGGCAUAUCAUUUUGUUUCUAUAAAUCUCAUUUUAGCGUGUAAUAGUGUUUCCUUUUUAAAAACAUUAUUAGUUUCAAACAUGUGAGCUUGAAUGCUGCUGCUUUGACUUUGACUUUCAGGAACAUGUAGUAUACACCCUGAGUGACUGGUGUUUCUAGUCAAUUGUCCACCCCCCAUGUACAUUAAAAGGGGAUUUCUAUUUCUCUAGUCAGUAACUUUACAAGAACACAAGACAUGAGCAACACAUGAAUAAAGAAGGAACAUACAUAAGGAAGGAAGCACAAAGCUCUUUUAAUAGCCUUUUUAUGGGUCACAGCGCCAAACCACCAAAAUACACAGAAACGCCAACACACAUGUACAAAAAUAACAGGACAAGAAACAUACUGUGUGAAAGUCUGUCUAAAGUGCAGAUUGAACUGGACAUCCUUCAGCUGAAAUGCAAUUUUAACCUCUGAUUAAUGUUAAUUAUAUAUGUUUCGGUCAUUUUUUUUCUGCAGAGACCAAUUUUAUAAGAUUUUGUCCUGGGAAACCCCAUUGGACAUUUUUUGCUGGUAGACACAAUUUCAUAUUGAAUCACAGACAUAUUGUUAGUUUGGAGGUAAUAGUGACCAAUGUCUAGUGUCUACAUGUCCUACAGGCCACCAUUCAAAAGGACCUCUGGUGGUUACCAAACUCCAAAUUAGGAAGCAGCAGUGCUUUUGGAGUCCACUGGCUCCAGGCUGAGAACACCAGCGAGUCUCUGGAGCGAACCCUCAGCUUGCUGAUUCUCUUCGGUAUCAGAAGAGAUAAAGAACGUCCGGUCUAAAGGCAGAUAGGUCACACAAUAAGAACAAAAAAAUGCAAUGGAGAGAAUAACAUACAUGGAGAAAUCACCAGAUUUAGUUUGAGUGCAAGUUUGAGUGUACCAUGCCAUCAUCUUUAAACACGUAUUCAAUCUCAUGCUCCAGAGAGAAGAAGCUGUGAGGAGUUGACCAGCUGGACGGUGGAUCAAUGGUCACAUUCAGGUCCUGCUCCACCUCCUGACACUUCACAAUUCGGGGACUAUCGGGUUGAACUGGACAGAACAAAAUAAAAACGAGGGCCAAAGUGUAUCAGUAUGGAAUCAUCAAAGUAUAUAAAUGAGCAAAUAUUUGACUAAUAAAAUAACAUUUAUUUACUGAUGAGCAAUGACACAACUGCUAACAAUUGCAUUCUUUUCUUUUUAGUGCUUGAAUUUGAAUGUUUUUGAAACUAUUUAAACAUUUGAAAAUAAUUUCAUUUUACAAGAACUUUUAUGUAGUUUGAUAAUCUGUUGAAGAGUCUAGUUUACUUCAUCAGAAAGUGACUUUACAAUAUACCAUUGGGACCAAAUAUCCUUCUAAUUUCCUGAUAACUGAAUAAUAUCCUGAUAUUUAAUUUUGUACUUUAUAAACAGCUUUGUUGGUGAUUUUUGAAAAAGAUGCUCUUUACGCUUUAAUCUUGAUAAUCUUCUGUUGAAUGCCUUUAAUGUAGCUCAGUUUCAAGCAGCUUACCAAUGUCUCUGAGAUAAAAUCUCUUGGUUCUCCUGAGGAUGCGGAAAUUAGUGAUGGCCUCAGCAGUGAGUUCGAGCAUGCUGCUUUCCUCAGCGUAGGGUGAGAGGGAGUGGGGCAGCUCAAACUGGAAUCCCCCACCCGGUAGCUGCUCACUGCUGCUGACCCAGUGACACGACUUCCUACCUUCACUGCUACAAAGACAAGCAAUAAAACACUGAUAUGUCACUUUGUGACAUAUGUAACAGACUUGUUGGUCUAUGUUCAUACACUAUAUGUAGUACUUUUAGCCUCUGUUAUGUCAUUUGUCUUGUAUUUUUCUUUACCAGUCUUGGCCCAGUCCAAUGCGCACUGCUGUGUAUUUUCUUUGGGUCCACUUGCAGCUGAAGUUACAGUGAUACGACUUUGCCCGACAACUGAAAAAAGAAUCUAUAAAGAUACACAAUGUGAGUGAAAAGUUUAAUGGAAAAUGUUUGGAUAAUAAAACAAUACAUGAAAAUA
Molecule: long non-coding RNA, 2710 nt
Organism: Micropterus dolomieu (smallmouth bass)
Lineage: Eukaryota; Metazoa; Chordata; Actinopteri; Centrarchiformes; Centrarchidae
Exons: 2
Source: RefSeq, a predicted model, not a curated record